AAGACCUUACUUAAUAGGAUCAUUUCUAUAGUAAGAACAGUCUUUAGUAAUCGCUUAGCUAAACAUGAGUCGAGAGUUCAUCGAC
Molecule: small nucleolar RNA, 85 nt
Organism: Bombyx mandarina (wild silkworm)
Lineage: Eukaryota; Metazoa; Arthropoda; Insecta; Lepidoptera; Bombycidae
Source: RefSeq, a predicted model, not a curated record